GACGAACGCUGGCGGCGCGCCUAACACAUGCAAGUCGAACGAGCGAGAGAGAGCUUGCUUUCUCAAGCGAGUGGCGAACGGGUGAGUAACGCGUGAGGAACCUGCCUCAAAGAGGGGGACAACAGCUGGAAACGACUGCUAAUACCGCAUAAGCCCACGACCCGGCAUCGGGCAGAGGGAAAAGGAGCAAUCCGCUUUGAGAUGGCCUCGCGUCCGAUUAGCUAGUUGGUGAGGUAACGGCCCACCAAGGCGACGAUCGGUAGCCGGACUGAGAGGUUGAACGGCCACAUUGGAACUGAGACACGGCCCAGACUCCUACGGGAGGCAGCAGUGGGGAAUAUUGCACAAUGGGGGAAACCCUGAUGCAGCGACGCCGCGUGGAGGAAGAAGGUCUUCGGAUUGUAAACUCCUGUUGUAGAGGAAGAUAAUGACGGUACUCAACAAGGAAGUGACGGCUAACUACGUG
Molecule: ribosomal RNA, 466 nt
Filed under: uncultured bacterium
Lineage: Bacteria
Description: partial 16S ribosomal RNA
Rfam family: Bacterial small subunit ribosomal RNA
Source: RNAcentral